CAACAUUUAAAACAAUGGAAAAGAUAUCAAUGAAGUUUGCUCUUGUUAUUUUCUUAGUUGUUGCAUCCGUGAUGAGUAUUGAGGCAACACGGUUAUUAACCGAAGAAGCUCUUGAAACGGUUCUGCAUGGUGAAUCUUUGCCGCAUGGCGAGGAAAAAUUCCAUUUUGGUGUUCACUGCGAGAAAGGGUGUCAUGAGGAAUGUUAUCCCGAUCAAUUUAUUACAAGAUGUUUUUGUGUGUGCCCAUAAUCUGAUACUAUCCUGAAAUAAUAAUGUGCUUUUCUAAUAUUAAUGAAAAAACUGGUCCAGUUAUGUUCUAUCAUGUUAUUGUGUAAUGAUUUC
Molecule: long non-coding RNA, 341 nt
Organism: Brassica oleracea var. oleracea
Lineage: Eukaryota; Viridiplantae; Streptophyta; Magnoliopsida; Brassicales; Brassicaceae
Exons: 2
Source: RefSeq, a predicted model, not a curated record